This 745-nucleotide ribosomal RNA is filed under the name uncultured archaeon. Its description in RNAcentral is "bacterial SSU rRNA". It matches the Rfam family "Archaeal small subunit ribosomal RNA", at positions 70 to 814 of the family's 1478-position model. The record is from RNAcentral.
UCAGACCCGUGGCAAAUAGCUCAGUAGCACGUGGCCAAUCUACCCUCCGGACCAGCACACCCUCGGGAAACUGAGGCCAAUUCUGUAUACGGCUCCCGACCUGGAAUGGUGGGAGCCCGAAACGCUCCGGCGCCGGAGGAUGAGGCUGCGGCCGAUUAGGUUGACGGUGGGGUAAUGGCCCACCGUGCCGAUAAUCGGUCUGGGUCAUGAGAGUGAGAACCCAGAGACGGAAUCUGAGACAAGAUUCCGGGCCCUACGGGGCGCAGCAGGCGCGAAACCUUUACACUGCACGCACGUGCGAUAAGGGGACUCCGAGUGCGAGGGCAUAUCGUCCUCGCUUUCGUGUACCGUAGGGUGGUACACCAACAAGGGCUGGGCAAGACCGGUGCCAGCCGCCGCGGUAAUACCGGCAGCCCGAGUGAUGGCCGAUCUUAUUGGGCCUAAAGCGUCCGUAGCUGGCUGCGCAAGUCCGUCGGGAAAUCCACUCGCCCAACGAGUGGGCGUCCGACGGAAACUGCACAGCUUGGGACCGGAAGGCUCGAAGGGUACGUUCGGGGUAGGAGUGAAAUCCCAUAAUCCCGCACGGACCACCGAUGGCGAAAGCACUUCGAGAAAACGGAUCCGACAGUGAGGGACGAAAGCCAGGGUCUCCAACCGGAUUAGAUACCCGGGUAGUCCUGGCCGUAAACGAUGCUUGUUAGGUGUGACUCCCACUACGAGUGGGUGUUGUGCCGUAGGGAAGCCG